GCCGCAGUCCCUUCCCUCCUACUCUGCCUGCUUCUGUUGGCGUCACCUCUGCCAGCUUCUCUUCGGUUUCCUGCGCCUGCCGCCUUCAGGUCCCGAGCUGCUGCCUGCCUUCUCCGACCCCUGCCACGAGGUAACGCGUCCCGGACCGAGCCCCUGUGGGUGUGGCCCGGGAUCGCUUGCGCCCGGUCGCCCUGUCGCCGCACUUUGGUUUCCUCCCACGCCCACCUCCGCAUUUCGGCCUCCUCCCGCAGCCCCUAUAACUCCCUACCCCCCAAGUGCCCGGCACUCAAAGCCCUGGGAACUUAUCACAAUGUCAGAGGCGGCGGGAAAUCUCAAUAGCCUCCGCUUGGCGAAUGUGGCCCUGAGAGAGGAGUUAAAUGCCCUUCGAGGAGAGAAUGUCCAACUGGGCCUGCAGCUCGGAAGAGCCUUGGCCGAGGUUAAUUCCUUGCGGGGCAAUGUCUCAAGCUAUGUCCGCUGGCCAGUGCCCAUAGUGCCGGUCCUUGCCGAGGAGAACUUUGAGUUUCUGCUCAAUGAG
RNAcentral lists this long non-coding RNA (535 nucleotides) under Rattus norvegicus (Norway rat). Its description in RNAcentral is "long non-coding RNA NONRATT031064". Lineage: Eukaryota; Metazoa; Chordata; Mammalia; Rodentia; Muridae. The record is from RNAcentral.